AGUUCCAACGGUACAAGAUGAGCAUGCGUCCCAUUAGCUAGUUGGUGUGGUAACGGCAUACCAAGGCAACGAUGGGUAGGGGUCCUGAGAGGGAGAUCCCCCACACUGGUACUGAGACACGGACCAGACUCCUACGGGAGGCAGCAGUGAGGAAUAUUGGUCAAUGGGCGCAAGCCUGAACCAGCCAUGCCGCGUGCAGGAUGACGGUCCUAUGGAUUGUAAACUGCUUUUGUACAGGAAGAAACCCUCCCUUGUAAGGGAGCUUGACGGUACUGUAAGAAUAAGGAUCGGCUAACUCCGUGCCAGCAGCCGCGGUAAUACGGAGGAUCCAAGCGUUAUCCGGAAUCAUUGGGUUUAAAGGGUCCGUAGGCGGUUUUAUAAGUCAGUGGUGAAAUCUGGUCGCUCAACGAUCAAACGGCCAUUGAUACUGUAAGACUUGAAUUACUUGGAAGUAACUAGAAUAUGUAGUGUAGCGGUGAAAUGCUUAGAGAUUACAUGGAAUACCGAU
RNAcentral lists this ribosomal RNA (508 nucleotides) under Flavobacterium columnare. RNAcentral describes it as "bacterial SSU rRNA". It matches the Rfam family "Bacterial small subunit ribosomal RNA", at positions 205 to 713 of the family's 1533-position model. The record is from RNAcentral. Lineage: Bacteria; Pseudomonadati; Bacteroidota; Flavobacteriia; Flavobacteriales; Flavobacteriaceae.